This 434-nucleotide ribosomal RNA is filed under the name Gemella haemolysans. RNAcentral's name for it is "bacterial SSU rRNA". It matches the Rfam family "Bacterial small subunit ribosomal RNA", at positions 28 to 444 of the family's 1533-position model. Lineage: Bacteria; Bacillati; Bacillota; Bacilli; Caryophanales; Gemellaceae. The record is from RNAcentral.
GACGAACGCUGGCGGCGUGCCUAAUACAUGCAAGUCGAGCGAAGUUUUUCUGGUGCUUGCACCGGAAAAACUUAGCGGCGAACGGGUGAGUAACACGUAAAGAACCUGCCUCAUAGACUGGGACAACUAUUGGAAACGAUAGCUAAUACCGGAUAACAGCAUUAACUGCAUGGUUGAUGUUUAAAAGUUGGUUUUGCUAACACUAUGAGAUGGCUUUGCGGUGCAUUAGCUAGUUGGUGGGGUAAAGGCCUACCAAGGCGACGAUGCAUAGCCGACCUGAGAGGGUGAUCGGCCACACUGGGACUGAGACACGGCCCAGACUCCUACGGGAGGCAGCAGUAGGGAAUCUUCCGCAAUGGGCGAAAGCCUGACGGGAGCAACGCCGCGUGAGUGAAGAAAGGAUUUUCGGGUUCGUAAAAGCUCUGUUGUUAGGG